This 882-nucleotide ribosomal RNA is filed under the name uncultured bacterium. RNAcentral's name for it is "bacterial SSU rRNA". It matches the Rfam family "Bacterial small subunit ribosomal RNA", at positions 10 to 904 of the family's 1533-position model. The record is from RNAcentral.
AGUUUGAUCCUGGCUCAGGACGAACGCUGGCGGCGCGCCUAACACAUGCAAGUCGAACGGAGCUUAGAGAGCUUGCUUUUUAAGCUUAGUGGCGAACGGGUGAGUAACGCGUGAGUAACCUGCCCUAGAGUGGGGGACAACAGUUGGAAACGACUGCUAAUACCGCAUAAGCCCACGGUACCGCAUGGCACUGAGGGAAAAGGAUUUAUUCGCUUUAGGAUGGACUCGCGUCCAAUUAGCUAGUUGGUGGGGUAACGGCUUACCAAGUCGACGAUCAGUAGCCGGACUGAGAGGUUGAACGGCCACAUUGGGACUGAGAUACGGCCCAGACUCCUACGGGAGGCAGCAGUCGGGAAUAUUGCGCAAUGGAGGAAACUCUGACGCAGUGACGCCGCGUGCAGGAAGAAGGUUUUCGGAUUGUAAACUGCUUUAGACAGGGAAGAAAUAAGACAGUACCUGUAGAAUAAGCUCCGGCUAACUACGUGCCAGCAGCCGCGGUAAUACGUAGGGAGCGAGCGUUAUCCGGAUUUAUUGGGUGUAAAGGGUGCGUAGACGGGAAGAUAAGUUAGUUGUGAAAUCCCUCGGCUUAACUGAGGAACUGCAACUAAAACUGUUUUUCUUGAGUACUGGAGAGGAAAGUGGAAUUCCUAGUGUAGCGGUGAAAUGCGUAGAUAUUAGGAGGAACACCAGUGGCGAAGGCGACUUUCUGGACAGAAACUGACGUUGAGGCACGAAAGUGUGGGGAGCAAACAGGAUUAGAUACCCUGGUAGUCCACACCGUAAACGAUGGAUACUAGGUGUAGGGGAUAAUAAAUCCUCUGUGCCGCCGCAAACGCAAUAAGUAUCCCACCUGGGGAGUACGGCCGCAAGGUUGAAACUCAA